GGAGUGGCCUAGUGGAACGGGCCUUGACUUCCAUGCAAGUGACCCGAGUUUGAGUCACAAUUGAUGCCGGGGCUUCGAUUAAAUGGCAAGACAUGAAUGACUGAAAGAGAGCUGAUCCUGACGGCCUGGGUUCAAAUAUUGAAAGCAGUUUCUGAUCCACCAGAGCUCAGUGGUGCCAGGGUGAUGUACUCACCCAUUGGGUUCGCCCAUGUGGUCCAUAUGGUGGGGAGGAGGGUCCCUCCCCAAAAUUACCCUCUGCAUCGACCAUUCUCUGGUAGGAUAGGGGGCCUUAUGGUCAUACC
Molecule: long non-coding RNA, 302 nt
Filed under: Elaeis guineensis (African oil palm)
Lineage: Eukaryota; Viridiplantae; Streptophyta; Magnoliopsida; Arecales; Arecaceae
Description: long non-coding RNA (EGUI_LNC003866)
Source: RNAcentral